GAGAAGAGACCUCCGCAAUAUAUUGGACAAUAAUUUUGGAGCGCCAGGGCACGCUGGAGCCCGACCCAAGAUGGCGGCGAGGAGGCGGAGAUGGGGCGGCACUAAUGAACGUGGGGGAGAGAGGCGUAGAGCCUGGAAGGAGCCAACGUGAAGGUGACACGUAGCGAGAGAGGAGCGAGCGAAGAAGUGGAGCUGAAGAGCUAUACGGAGGAGACUAGUCUUAUUUGAAAAAAUAAAGAAGUCUACACCUGCUAAAAAGGCAUGUCCUUCCUUGGUAGUCCCUGGAACCAGCAAGACGACAGCUGGAGACUGUCACAACUAUUAAAAUAAACAAAAACACAAACAAAAGUGAAAUAAAAAAGCUUAAAGGCUAAAUGUAAUUUAGAAAAAGUUGCAACGUUGACUAAUAAAACAAAGCUGUUUUUUGUUAUUUUAUUUCAAACUGUCAUUGCUCAUAACAUAAUAUUGAAUCAAAAUCAAUGUUAUUAUGAAUUACUGACCGAUCCAAAGUUCCCAUUACUUCACAUCAAAUAUUACACUAAGAAAAAUAUUUUUGGUGGAAGAUUUUGCAAACUUGGUAAAUAACCUAAAACUGUACCGAAAAUUAACCGAACCGUGACCUCUGAACCGAGGUACGUACUGAACCGAAAGUUUUGUCUACUGUUACACCCCUACUAUUGAUAAGUGAAUAUUGGUUUCUAAACUUUCCUCGGCAUACUUGCCAAAGGUCGGCAAGACAUUGCACCGUGCCCCCACAGGAGGGCCCCACCCCACUGUUUGAGAAAGACUGCUUUACACACAGGCACCUGUUGCAGCUCUGACAGUACAUAUGAAGCAGGAAAAUUGCCAUAUCAACAUCCUGCAUCAUUAUUCCUCCCCUUUUCUCUGUACAAACGGCAGCAACAAGCAUGCUUUUACGGCAUACUUGCCAACCCUCCCGAUUUUCCCGGGAGACUCCCGAAUUUCAGUGCCCCUCCCGAAAAUCUCCCGUGGCAACUAUUUCCGCGAAUUUCUCCCGAUUUCCACCCGGACAACAAUGUUGGCGGCGUGCCUAUAAGGCACUGCCUUUUUCGUCCUCUACAACCUGUCGUCACGUCCGCUUUUCCUCCAUAAAAACAGCGUGCCGGCCCAGUCCCAUGAUAUAUGUAGCUUGUAAACACACACAAGUGAAUGCAAGGCAUACUUGGUCAGCAGCCAUGCAGGUCACACUGAGGGUGUCCGUAUAAACAACUUGAACACUGUUACAAAUAUGCGCCACACUGUGUGAACCCACACCGGACAAGAACACAUUUCGGGAGAACAUCCGCACCGUAACACAACAGAACAAAUACCCAGAACCCCUUGCAUCACUAACUCUUCCGGGACACUACAAUAUACAAUAUCACUAUUCCUCCCCUUUUUUCUGUACAAACGGCAACAACAAGCAGGCUUUUACGGCAUACUUGCCAACCCUCCCGAUUUUCCCGUGAGACUUCCGAAUUUCAGUGCCCCUCCCUAAGAUCUCCCAAGACAAACAUUCUCCCAAAUUUCUCCCAAUUUCCACCCGGACAACAAUAUUGGGGGCGUGCCUUGAAGGCACUGCCUUUUGCGUCCUCUACAACCUGUCGUCACGUCUGCUUUUCCUCCAUACAAACAGCGUGCCGGCCCAGUCCCAUAAUAUAUGUAGCUUUACA
This is a long non-coding RNA of Nerophis ophidion (straightnose pipefish), 1673 nucleotides long. RefSeq lists it as uncharacterized. The record is from RefSeq and is a predicted model, not a curated record. The transcript has 3 exons. NCBI's taxonomy places the organism in Eukaryota, Metazoa, Chordata, Actinopteri, Syngnathiformes, Syngnathidae.